UCAGUCCACAGUGCCAUUGUAGGAUUUAUUGAACUUGUUGAAGGUGAAGUCCACAGUGUGCGUGGAGAUGGGCUUUCUGUACAAUGGGUUUGAAGCCUACAGAACAUGGCGGGGAAGAGGAUGAGGACACAUGUUAGCUCACACACUCAAACCAGCAGACGCCGCCCUAGGAUCCCUUCCCAGGUCAGCCACCCACGACAGCAGCAGGCAGAGCACUCAGGAGGAGAUGGCCAUGCGCUCUAGGACAGCUCUGUGUUCCCCGGGAAAGCUCUCGCCUUCUCUAAGCUUGCACUAUCCACCUCUGGAAGGAGGAGUUGGGUCAGAAGGUCUCUGAAGUCCCUUCCAGCUUUAACAGAAACCAAGCCCAGGUUCAGCAGGCACUGACUCUGCGCUCAGUCCUUUGGGCGUCUGCAGUCCGCCUGGGCUGACCAGACUGCAGGUGUGAGUGUUGUAAUGGACCAUAAGAAUCUGAGCUUUCCUGUGGGUCUGUGGUCUCUCUAAGACUGAUCAGACUCUUCCUGAGGCACACCCAGCGCCUCUGCCCCCAUGACCCUCCUGAUCUGGGUUUGGAACAGGGAUCUGUGCAGGUCACUCUGCACUGGGGUUAUGCAAUUCUCUCCGUUCAGAACUGGGCACAGUCUUUCUGGUGUUCUUUGUUUUUAAUGCCAAAGACAUUAGUGAGCCUCUAUUGCUAACGUACCACUGAACUCAACCACGCCUCUGAGCUUGAAGUCUCUGCUUCCCAUUUCCCACAUGCUUACCAUUUCAUAGCGGGCCCUGGAUCGCUCGCUCUGGAACUUUGCAAACUCCCUCCGGUCGUGGAUGGUGACGAGCAGCUUCCAGAUAGCCAGGAGUGCGAGCCCAACCAGGAGGAUGCUGCCGACCACAGCCAGGAGGAUGGUCAUGGCGUUGGGGGUGUUUCCACACUCUGGGGGGACCAGAAACAUGGUAAGCAAAGCCACUAGCAUCACCAUGCCCCUCCCACCCCCCAGCUGCAGGCAUUUCUGAGAUAAAAGUUGCACCCCUCCCAAAGGCCUUCUCCUUGGCUCUCUUAGAUCCUCAGGAAGGUUUCCCCAAUAUACAAAAAAUGAAAGAUUCAAAAGGGCCAGUGGCUGUUCCAAAGUCACACAGCAAGUGUGGCAAAGUCUAGAUGAGAGCCCUGGGGCAUAGCUGCCUUUCCCCUCAUGGGCAGCACCCAUGCCCUGCCUGGCCCGGUCUCCAUUGUGGGAUGCUGGACCCGCUCAGCUUUCAUGUACAUGGUUUCAGGAGCAGACUGGCAGGCAGGAGGUACCAUGAAGCCACUUCUACAAGGUCUGGGCUGGGGGCCAACAUUUGUAAGCCUUUAGUGUGGAAUUCCUUGGAGUAAAUGUGCUUAUUUUCAAAGAACCGCAGAGACAGCACUGGAAACAAAGCCUCAUUCUUACAGGCGUGUGUCCUAGGCUGGUACCACACUUCUCUCUGCCUCUGGCCUCAGGAAGGCACAUUAUGUGGUUGGGCCCAAUUUGGAAAAAUAGUUUGCAGUGCUGUCAACUGAAGAGAGCCAAUCUUCUUCUGCUCCACCCCUGCCUCCUCACCCCCAAGAAGAAUGUAAGGGGUGAUAUCAGAAAUUCCAAUUACUCCGAGGCAAAGGCUAUUGGUCCCUGAGUCCAAGCAGAGGCAGAAUUUUGGUAUUUGGAUUGCAGCUUGACCUCUUCAGUGGUUCUGGAAGCUGAGCAUGGGAGCAGCAGGAAUGUUGAACCCAGCGCUCCGUUGUCCUUGGAAUCCACGCUGGGAAGAGCAGCGGCCCUGCCCGGGCUGUGUGUGAAGCUGGAUGCUCCCUGACUUGAGUGAUACCCUGCCCAGCCCAGGUGGUCCAGAUGCCCUGCACCCUCCCUGCAGAACACAGCGGCUCCUUGCUGCCUUUGGCUGUGCAGGGAAACUGCCAAGCUGCUUUCCAAAGUCUAUACCAUUCUACAUUCCCAUCAGCCGUGGAUGACGGUUCCAGCACCGGGUCCUCAUGGGGAGCCCACAGUUAUGCCCAGGAAGCCUGGGCUGUGCCUCCUGACUCAAGGCUAAAACCACCCUCCUCCCCAGGGAGGAGAGAAACCGUGGCUGCCCAGGCGGCGGCGGCACACUCACCAAUGGUGUCCACCCAUGUGAUCACCUCGUCCCUGCACAGGCUGUGGCAGGUCUGGUUGUCAGGUUUCCCGGAGUGGAGCAGCAGGCACUCGACGCAAUCUCUUUGGAAAAGAGGAAAUAAAGGUGGGUGUCAGACAAUGUAGAACAGUCCCACACCUGUCCCUGAGCUCCCGACAGUGCAGGACCUGGGAAGGCUUUCAUUUCUUUCUAGCCGCAGAUGUUCAGCCUCAGGGAAUGUGUCUGCUCCGCCUUUCUUGUUGCUAUGCGAGGAAGCCCAAGGGUUCUUGGAGGAACCUGUGUGAGUUUAGUGGCAUGUCUUUACAUGUCAAGUUGCAGACCUUUCAAAUUCUGACACCAGGAGCCAAAUCCAUUUGCACUCUGGUCCAUCUAAUGCCUGGUGAGGCGUCUGGUCAUCACCCAGGGCAGGGAUCUCAACCCUCCCACACAUUCAACUCUCCAGGGAGCUUUCAAGAGAAACUCCCAGUACCUGAGCCCAACCACACCCCCAGGGCCAGGCUUCCUGGGCAAUUCUGAUGCGUGUCGAGGGCUGAGAUCCACUGUCCUGGAGAAUCUCAGGCUCCAGCCCCCUUCUCCCUCUCAGACAGAGUCCACCUGCCAGGUCCCCCAGGCCUGCUGUCCUCUUAACCCACGAAUCAGUCUACACCAGGCUCUGGCACAGGCUCUAGGGUGAUGGCUCCCUCCCAGGGAACCCUUGUUCUUUAACAGGGGCCUCCUCUAGAAAAUGGAUGAGCAGCCCAAAAGUGACAGCUUGAGCCUCUCUCCUCCCACCUCAGGCUAACAGUGGGUGCUGGCUCAAUCAGAUAGUGGGUGAAAAUGCUUGACUACAAAGUUCAAUUAAAUGGUCAGUAUUAUACUUUAUAUCAUCAAAACCAAGUUCCAGACAUUCUUUCUCUGUCUUAGGAGACAUUUGGGAGAACGGGAUUCCUGAGGUCACAGGGCGGGGAGCUACGCUCUGGCUGCAGGACUGUAAAGCUGAUGUUCAAGGGGAGAGGUCCCAGGCUCCGCUGGUGGCUGGGGGAUGGUGAGCACAAAGCUCCAGGGAGGAGAGGGCUGGGGCGUGUCGUUCUCAAGGACUUUGUGAUGCCGUGCUGCCUGGUGGCCUUUGAGGAGAGUGAGACCCCAGGAGAGGCGCCUAGGAAACCGGGUCAGGACUCAAGAGCCAGGUGUGCUGGGGAGGCCACCAGAGUGCAGGGGGUGACCUCCUCAGAACCUCAACUACACGAGGGACAGCUGCUGUGCCGCCACAGGCCUGUGGGGACCAAAGGGGCUGUGUGUGCAGAAAGCUCUCUGCCAAAAAUACAGAGGGAUGUGCAACUGCAA
Non-coding RNA from Macaca mulatta (Rhesus monkey), 3459 nucleotides. Lineage: Eukaryota; Metazoa; Chordata; Mammalia; Primates; Cercopithecidae. The record is from RefSeq and is a predicted model, not a curated record.